AUUUUCCUGGAGUGUUCGUCAGUGGAUGAAUGUCCCCUGAGCCGAUAAUCAAACCAAAGGAUGGUUAACAGAUUGGCUAUUGAGCAUGCUCGGCUCGUACCGAGAAGCCUACGGUUCCAACGUUAGCUGUCCGCCUUGAACCUAAGGGUUCAAGGGCUGCCAUCCUCAACGGCACUCCGGGAUUCCU
RNAcentral lists this non-coding RNA (187 nucleotides) under Vibrio stylophorae. Its description in RNAcentral is "6S". It matches the Rfam family "6S / SsrS RNA". Rfam says of the family: E. coli 6S RNA was the first non coding RNA to be sequenced, but its function was unknown until recently. It consists of 184 nucleotides that fold into an extended hairpin structure with a large single-stranded internal bulge. Lineage: Bacteria; Pseudomonadati; Pseudomonadota; Gammaproteobacteria; Vibrionales; Vibrionaceae. The record is from RNAcentral.